CUCCUGGGAAGUCCUCGUGUUGCACCCCUC
Molecule: ribosomal RNA, 30 nt
Filed under: Rosa rugosa (rugosa rose)
Lineage: Eukaryota; Viridiplantae; Streptophyta; Magnoliopsida; Rosales; Rosaceae
Source: RNAcentral